ACUAAUCUUGCUAAUAAUAAUUUAUAAAAUAAUAAUAAAAAAUUUAUAUUUAUUUUAAUUUUAUAUUUUAUUAUAUGACUGGCAUAAUACCUUAGAGUUAUUAUAGAAUUUCUAUAUCUAUGGAUUGGGAAACUCUAUAUAAAGAGCAGAAGUCCUACCGAGUUCAAGCUAAGUAAUUACUUCCUUUGGUUGGAGUGUGAAAAAAAAAAAAAAAAAAAUGUCCGCUCAAGUUCUACCAACGGUCUCCAGUUCAACAGAAAAAACUGUUCGUCCCAUUGCUGGUUUCCAUCCUAACUUAUGGGGAGACUAUUUCCUGACCCUCGCUUCUGAUUGCAAGGUAAUUAAAGACGGAUCUAAAUAACUCGCUAACUACCAGCUAGCUAGCUAGCCAUGUGCGUGAUUAAUUCGCAUAGAGACUAAUAAGUAUUAAUUAAUUGUAUUGUACAUGCAUGCAUUGCAGACAAAUGAUACUACGCACCAAGAGGAAUACGAAGCGCUGAAGCAAGAAGUCAGGAGCAUGAUAACGGCUACGGCAGAUACACCUGCCCAGAAGUUGCAAUUGGUUGAUGCAGUCCAACGAUUGGGUGUGGCCUAUCACUUCGAACAGGAGAUAGAAGAUGCAUUGGAAAAGAUUUAUCACGAUGACUUUGAUAAUAACGAUGAUGUCGAUCUCUACACUGUUUCUCUUCGUUUUCGACUGCUUAGGCAGCAAGGAUUUAAGGUUCCGUGUGGUAAGUAAGAUUUUUGCUUAAAGCUAAUUAGGGUCUCUACAGUUUCUGCCAAUUACAUACUUAGUUGUUGUAAUUUUUAAAACAUACUCAAAAGAUUUGUUGUUACAUUUGUAGGUGUUGGAUAUGAGUAGAUAAAAAGAAAAUGGUCAUAUAUUGAGUAGAUUUUAACACAAAUUUGUACAAUAGAGACAUUUGGGACAUAUUUGAAAAUAAAGUAACUAUAUAAUUGAGUAAUUGGCUGAAACUAUCCCUAGCCAUUUAUAUAUGUGUUUAUACAUGCUGAUGUCAAUGUAACUGAGCACAAUAAAUCUUUUACUAAAAAUAUCAGAUGUGUUCGAGAAGUUCAAAGAUGAUGAAGGUAAAUUCAAGGCAUCAUUGGUGCAGGAUGUUCAUGGCAUUCUAAGUUUGUAUGAGGCAGGACACUUGGCCAUUCGCGGAGAAGAUAUAUUGGAUGAAGUCAUUGCUUUCACUAGAACUCACCUUAAGUCAAUGGCAUCUGAUGAUGUUUGCCCUAAUAAUCUUGCUGAGCAAAUUAACCAUGCUCUCGACUGUCCUCUCCGUAGAGCCCUCCCAAGAGUAGAGACAAGAUUUUUCUUGUCUGUCUAUCCAAGAGUUGAUAAGCACGAUAAAACUUUGUUAAAGUUUGCAAAGUUAGACUUUAACCUUGUGCAAAGAAUACAUCAGAAGGAAUUAAGUGCCAUCACACGGUAAGCUCUUAACCCGCGCCUGUGUUAUUUUUACUUUAAAAGAACCAAAAAAAAAAAAAAAAAACAGAUACAUUGAUUUGCUUUGUUAAUUUAUAAGCAUUUUUGAAAAUAUACAAAUCACUUUCCUGUUCAUUUAAAGUUCUAGGACAAUAUAUUGUCAUUGUCUUUGUUCUUGUUCAAUUAUUGUGGGAAAUUGUCACUUCCUUCUAUGAUUCUUAGAUUUUACUACUUACAUCCUUACGGUUUUCAUAUGUAACUGUGCUUUACCUGUUUGACGUAACUUAUUCUUUUGGGGCUUUGCCCUCCCAUUAUAUUUUAAAAGUAAAAUAUGAAAAGAAAGAAAAAAUCUAUUUUAACAGAGAUAAAUAUAACAGCAAGAACAUUUUGAGCAAAUUUUAAAAUUAUGAGGACCAACCAGACAUUUAGGUGAAUAUAAGGACAAUAAGGACAUUUAUCCAAAUGAUUUUCUAAACAUUUAACAAAGAGAACAUGUAUUGAUCAUCUCCUAACCUCUACUAAUUUAAUGAGUGAUCAAGAUUGAGUUUUGAAUUUUUAUAUUGAUAAUCAAGCCAACUUUUUUCACUUUAUUUAUAACUAAAUCAUCUUUUUUCACUAAAUUUAGAAAGCUUAGAGUAGUUAGGAGGGGGAAAAAACUAGUAGAGAAUGCUAAUAAUAAAAGUGGGCAAUUUAAUUUCUCAUUCACUUUUCACUAACUUUAACAAUCUUACAAAAUUUCACACAAAGGCCAAAAAUUCUCCUCUUAUUUAUGAUAUCGAUCAUACAUGUAUAAUUCUAGUGAACAAUAAAACCGAGUUUUUGUUUCUCCUUUUUUUAUCUUUUAAAUUGCACAAUGCCAGUAAAUUUAUUAAUUAGUUUUAGCUACCAAUUAAAUAAUUUUAAUAUAAGAUAUUUGAAUUUCAGGGGGUGGAAAGAUUUAGACUUCACUACAAAGCUGCCUUACGCAAGAGACAGAAUCGUGGAGUUAUAUUUUUGGAUUGUAGGGACGUAUUUUGAACCAAAAUACACCUUAGCCAGAAAAAUAAUGACCAAAUCAAUUUACAUGACAUCUAUCAUCAAUGACACUUUCGACGCCUAUGGUAUCUUUGAAGAGCUCAAACUCUUUACAGAAGCAGUCCAGAAGUUUAAAAUAUUUUGUGAUCUAUAUAAAUAUAAUAAAUUAUUAUUAUUAUUAUUAUUAUUUUAAAUUUUCUUUCACACGAUAUAUUACUUCGUAUUCAGAUGGGACAUCGGAGCCACAAAUAUACUUCCAGAAUACAUGAAAAUACUUUAUAAGGCCCUUUUAGAUACUUACAAUGAAAUUGAGCAAGACUUGGCCAAGGAAGGAAGAUCAUUCUACUUACGUUAUGACAAGGAAAAGGUAGGCAAUUAAGGGGUAAAUCCUCAAUUAGUCUAUGUAUUUUAAAAAUGAUAAAUGCUCAAAUAGUCCCUACAUUUUCCGUUAAGAUUUGUUACAAAUUGUUACGAGCAAAAUUGACGCGCCUCAAUUUCUUGACAUGAAUAAAUGGAUAUGGGUCAUGUUAAUAAUGGAUCGUGUUUAAAUAAUUUAAACUUGUUAUGACAUAAAAUCGAGACAGUUCGAACACGAUUCAAUAGUUGUGUAGUUGGAUUUCAUUUCAACAUGGUCCAGCAUUAGCUUAAUUUGUAUUAAGCUUUAAAAAAAAAGAAAGAAAGAGAGAGGGGUUCAUUUCUAUAAAUAGAGAGAGAGAGGAGCUAGUUUCCAUAAAUAGAAAGAGAGAGGGAACUAGCCCGGACGCGACCCGGUCUGAUCUUCCAUUUCUGGUCACCGCACCGGCCGAGCAAGGUACCAAACGGAAGGUUAGAAGCCGGCCAUCAUAUCCGCGUUGUCAUCAAGGCCGAAAAAGGGCUAGAACGUCGACGAUCAAGCUCGGAAAGCCGCGGUAAAACCCACCUCUUCUCGCCAUCGAUUCCGCCGGCUUUGGGUGAUGCCACUGCCUGGAUCUUGAUCUUACAUCACCCUCAACUGCGCCAAAACCACUGUUUUGGCCGCGAACGACCGCCGGAAGGCUCGAGCUUGGGAAGCUCGAUCCACCGCUGUCGUCGCGCGUGGAAGGUCACCGCUGGCACUAUUGGACUCACCGAGGUCAGAACUAUCAGAAUUGAGCUUCCCGUUGUCGUUGACUAAACUCCGGUCACUGCUAACAGGUAGGGCAAUUCGAUAAUUUCAUAAAAUUUAGGGAUAAUUUUGUAAUUUCUGAAAUUGGUGGAUAAUUUAGUAAUUUCAAAUUAGGGAAAUUAGGUAAUUUGAGAUUUUGAGGGUAAUUUGGUAAUUUAAGUUGUUAAGGGCAUUUUGGAAAUUUUGCUCUCCAAGGGUAAUUUCAUGAAUUAUGACAUUGUGGUUAUUUUUGUAACCUGAAUUGAGGGCAGUUUGGUAAUUUAGGAUUUUAAGGGUAAUUUGGUAAAUUAUGAUGUCGUGGACAUUUUGGUAAUUUACAAAUGCAGGGGUAUUUUGGUAAUCUUAUUCAUACGGGAAUAGUUUAUUGCGGGUAAAUAUCGUUUCAAGCUUGUUAGCCGUACUUCGCAUUUAUAGAUAUUAAUUAUGUCGUUUACUUGAUUUAGGAGGAACAACGAACGAGAAUCAACCCACAAACGAGGACGAUAGCUGAGUUUAAGCGUCGUCACUGUGAGUGGAAUAUACAAAACCUAUUUUCAUAGUUAAUUAUGAUAGUAAAGCAUGUUUGCGAAAUAAGCAUUCUAAAUAUUCUAAUUUAAUGAUUUUCUCGAAAUAGAUUUUAUUUACGAGUUGAUAUUUUAUUAAAAUGUUUGGUUAAUGGUUUUUUGUAUCGAUUUUGAAUAAAGCAUGAUAGUAUUUUAAAGAUAAGAAAAGUGAAUUCAAAUGUGGUAUGAUUUAAAGUAUGGUUAAAAGGUAUAUGAAUAUGAGUGUAAUGAUUGUUUUUAAAAUCAUUAGACAAUACCUUUCCCCUCUAGAUACAUGUGAUACAGAUGAGAUAAAAGGUCUUUGAGGCCCUUCUGAAGACACAUAAAGGCUCUGGGCCGUGUGUUUGGGCGCCUUUGCCUUUUGGGGGAAUAUGCAUGUGGUAUGAUGAUUACAGAGAUACAUAUAUUGAGAUACUGACAGAUAUUGAGAUACAAAUAAUACAUAUGAGAUAUAGGCCUUUGGGGCCUGUUUGAGUACACACAGAGGUUUUGGGUUGUGUGCUUGGGCGCCUUGUCCUUUGGGGACCAAUUUAUGCAUCAGAGAUAUGAUGAGAUAUAUGAGAUAUGAAAUGACAUUUCCCCGUCUACCCAUUGUAGCUCCGGGGCAUGUUGGUUCCUUAAUUGUUUGGCCGUCGAGGUCCGGGUAUGAUGAAAUUAUUCUCCUGGGUACUUGUUUAGUGACAGUUUUCAUGAUUCAAAUAUUGAAAUUACAGUGUAUCAUGACUUCUUUGAUUUUAUACGGUAUUAUAUAAUAAGUUUAUGUCACUGUAUGUUUUAUACUCAAAUAAGUUAUUUAAGUUCUUAUGAAAAUUUUGUUGAAAGGAUUUAUUGAAAUGAUAAUUAUUUUGAAGUAAAUUUAUUUUUUAAAAACUACUAUUUACUUACUGAACAUACUGAGUUUAUACUCACCCCGUUUUUAUUAUAUUCCCCCCUCCCAUAGGAGAUUUGUAGGUACAUCAGUCGAUCCAGCAACGAUAGUUACAUUGGAAAUUAUGGCCAUGUGAUGGUGCCAGGAAUCAUAGAUGUUUGUUGGGAUAUUUUAGAUUGUAUAAAUUAUUGCAUAUUUGUGAUUAAAGAUAAUAAAUUGUAUUUUUGACAUUAUAUGUUUGGAGGAUAUUUGGUAUGUGAUUGACGAAGUUGGUUGCGGAGGUUGAUUAAAUAUUGAAUUAUUUUUUAGAUUGUUAAUUUUAUAAAUUUACGGUUUAGGAAUGUUAUAAUUGUAGAGGAGACUGUCGAAUUUUUGGUAGAAUUCUUAAAUAUUAAAUUUAUUAUUAAUUCGGUUGGACGAGAUUAGAUAGACUUGCUUUGGGGAUUUAGGGUGGGUCGUUUCACAUAUUUAUUUGACUUACCAAGUUUCUUUCUAUUAGGCUCUCAUGAUCUCAUGCUCUCAUGUAGCUAGGCUUAUUUGACUUACUAAGCUUCCUGCUACUGAGCUCUUGUUCUCCCAUGUUUUCAUGCUCUUGUGUUCUCAUGCUCUUACGUAGUUGUGCUUAUUUGACUUAUUAAGCUUUCUACUACAUACUAAGCUAUCACGUUUUCAUGCUCUCAUACUCUCAUGCUCUUACGCAGUUGUGCUUAUUUGACUUGUUAAGUUUCUUAUUACUAAGCUCUCAUGCUGUCAUGCCCUCAUGUCACUGUGUUUAUUUGACUUAUUAAGUUUCUUAUUAUUGAGCUUUCAUGCUCCCAUGUUUUCAUGAUCUUAUGCGUUUGUAGUUAUUUAACUUAUUAAGCUUCCUACUACUAAGCUAUCAUGCUUUCAUACAUUCACGUAGUUGUGCUUAUUGGAUUUAUAAGCUUCCUGCAACUAAGCUCUCGUGUAGUUGUGCUUAUUUGACUUAUUACGCUUCCUGCUGCUGAGUUCUCAUGCUUUCGUACUCUCAUGCUUAUCAUGCUCUCUUGUACUUGUAGUUAUUUGACUUUUCACAUUUCUCAUGUAAUUGUGCUUAUUUGAUUUAUUACGCAUCCGGCUGCUGAGUUCUCAUGCUUUCAUGCUUAUCAUGCUCUCUUGUGCUUGUAAUUAUUUAAAUUUUCACCUUUCUCAUUACAACAUGUAUAAUUAUCGAAAUAAAUGUUUGUCUUUAAAAAAAAAUUUAAAGGCUGAAGACUUUGAAUUUUAAUACAAAUAUUGACGGGUCUAGGGUUUUAAAUUAUACUACUUGGCAUAAGUAUCCAAAUUUAAUGUCAUUAUUUUACAAAAAGUAAAAUGAUUAAAUUGUUGAAAAUAUAUGAGAAAAAACGAUUUUUAAAGACCAAAACAAAAUCCAACCCUUCAUUAAAUAUGUAGGUUUGAACAAUGGAUCUAUCCAUUAAAAGCUCGAUUCGAUAAGAUCGUUUUGUCGAUUAAUCUUAUAUUCUGUUAAUGUAUCGUAUAAACUUUUGUCAAGCCAUUAAUCAUAUAUGGAUUGCGAAACUCUAUAUGAAGAGCAGAAGUCCGGCCGAGUUCAAACUAAGUAAUUAGUUCCUUUGGUUUGCUUUGAUUAGAAAAAAAAAAAAAAAAAAAGAAAGAAAAAAGUUCCCACUCAAGUUCCAGCAACGGUUUCCAGUUCAAUAGAAAAACCUGUUUGUCCCAAAUUGAAUGUCAUGUUUUUUUUAUACAAAGUAAAAUGAUUAAAUUGUUGAAAAUAUAUGAGGCAAACGGUUUUAAUAAUGGAUCUAUGCUUUAAAAGAUCAACUCGAUGAGAUGCAGACAAUCAUUUUAUUUUGUAAUUUAACAUUCUGUUAAUGUAUCGCAUGAAAUUUUUUCAAGCCAAAGGUUAUUUAUGGGAGAAACUCUAUGAUACAUCAGAAUUAAUACAACUAAUAAAUCUGUGUGUGUGUGUUGUGUAACUGAGAAUAUAGAGGCAGAGAGAACAGAAAAAAUUUAAAAGGGUUUGAGCCAUGUUUGGACACUUUGAGGUUUUAUUUAUCCUCACUACACUUGAUUUGUAAUGAAGUUGAAUGAAAAAUCACCCUCAAGAUACAACAAACUCUAAACACAAUCUCUAGCAAUGAAACUAUAUUCGAGAACAGGUUAUGAAUCUGUAAUAUAAUCUGGGAUAUUUAUAGGAAGUUAAGUGUCUAUUCAUGAAGUAAUAUGUUUAUUCACAAAACAAUGCAACCCUCCAAACAAAUUAAGGCACCUUUUUAGAACAGAUCACUUUAAAUAGACACUUUAGUGAGAAACAUUGCACCUUUCCAUCAUUUAAUUUAAUUAAUUUAUUUAAAAUAAACUAAUUAAUUAAUUACGAAGGAAUUAUAUUUCAAUCUCAAAGCUUUCUCAUUUUAGCGCUGCAGCGUAUCUCUCUUGGUGCUGCAGCACCAAUGUUCUCCCAUAUGUAUAAUAACAAAUAUUAUAAUCUCUUUUACAUUUUAAAUAAUCACUAAUUACAUGCUAUUUCUUUAAAAUAAAUGUACAAAUGCCAUUGCAUCAUUCCACUAGAUUGCAAGGACCAAUGAAAUUAAUGCUUAGCCUAGAUCAGACGUAAGGUUGGAGAAUGAAAUAAACAUAUUUCCUAACAUCGAACCUGUAACAAUAUAGCACUUAAUUACUAUAACUAACAUAAAUUGAACUUUCCAUUUGCACGAAAAGCCAAUUCAGUAGGAAUUGCCCUGCAAUUUUAGGUAAUAUUUAAAUAAUUUGUCUAUUAUAUAUGUCAGCAUUACUGCACAAUUAACUUACAGCUAAUAAUCCAAAAGCUAUAUAUAUGGCUACUUUCAACAAAACCGCUUAGUGUUACCCACAUUUUUCACGCUUCUUGGGUCUUCUUAAAAGAUGAAGUGAAAUAUAUUGAAGACGAGGGUAGAUGCUCGUUUUGCCCUUAUAUUUUGUGUUAAUACUUGCUUAGUAUCUAUAUUUUGAAAAAUACCUCAUCCAUUUUGUUUAUUAUGAGGCAUUCAUAUCCUUAUUUUUUUCUUUUUUCUUUUUAAUAUAACUCUUACUACAAUUUUAAAAUAAUAUUUAAUAUCUUUGCAAUAACUAAUCUUGCUAAUAAUAAUUUAUAAAAUAAUAACAAAAAAUUUAUAUUUAUUUUAAUUUUAUAUUUUAUUGUAUGAUGAUAUAAUACCUUAGAGUUAUUAUAGAAUUUCUCUAUCUAUGGAUUGGGAAACUCUAUAUAAAGAGCAGAAGUCCUACCGAGUUCAAACUAAGUAAUUAGUUCCUUUGGUUUGAGUGUGAAAAAGAAAAAAAAAAAAAAAUGUCCGCUCAAGUUCUAGCAACGGUUUCCAGUUCAACAGAAAAAACUGUUCGUCCCAUUGCUGGUUUCCAUCCUAACUUAUGGGGAGACUAUUUCCUGACCCUCGCUUCUGAUUGC
This 8424-nucleotide long non-coding RNA is filed under the name Citrus maxima (pomelo). RNAcentral's name for it is "long non-coding RNA (CMAX_LNC000830)". The record is from RNAcentral. Lineage: Eukaryota; Viridiplantae; Streptophyta; Magnoliopsida; Sapindales; Rutaceae.